UGGGGAAUAUUGCACAAUGGGCGCAAGNNGAUGCAGCGACGCCGCGUGAGGGAUGACGGCCUUUCGGGUUGUAAACCUCUGUUAGCAGGGAAGAAGAGAAAUUGACGGUACCUGCAGAGAAAGCGCCGGCUAACUACGUGCCAGCAGCCGCGGUAAUACGUAGGGCGCGAGCGUUGUCCGGAAUUAUUGGGCGUAAAGAGCUUGUAGGCGGUUUGUCGCGUCUGCUGUGAAAGGCCGGGGCUUAACCCCGUAUAUUGCAGUGGGUACGGGCAGACUAGAGUGCAGUAGGGGAGACUGGAACUCCUGGUGUAGCGGUGAAAUGCGUAGAUAUUAGGAAGAACCCCAGUGGGGAAGGGGGCCUUUUUGACGAAAACUGACGCCUGAGGCCCGAAAGCCAGGGGAGCGAACGGGAUUAGAUACCCCGGUAGUCCUGGCCGUAAACGAUGGGUACUAGGUGUAGGAGGUAUCGACCCCUUCUGUGCCGGAGUUAACGCAAUAAGUACCCCGCCUGGGGAGUACGACCGCAAGGUUG
This 532-nucleotide ribosomal RNA is filed under the name uncultured bacterium. RNAcentral describes it as "bacterial SSU rRNA". It matches the Rfam family "Bacterial small subunit ribosomal RNA", at positions 355 to 896 of the family's 1533-position model. The record is from RNAcentral.